RNAcentral lists this small RNA (94 nucleotides) under bovine gut metagenome. RNAcentral's name for it is "Alpha operon ribosome binding site". It matches the Rfam family "Alpha operon ribosome binding site". From Rfam's summary of the family: The bacterial alpha operon ribosome binding site is surrounded by this complex pseudoknotted structure. Translation of the mRNA produces 4 ribosomal protein products, one of which (S4) acts as a translational repressor by binding to the nested pseudoknot region. The record is from RNAcentral.
CGCCGUGUAUCCUGAACGGGCUUUACGGCGGUGUAUUUUAAUUUUUGUUAGGAGUGUCAUAGUGGCCCGUAUAGCUGGCAUUAACGUUCCUGAU